Molecule: unclassified non-coding RNA, 263 nt
Filed under: Hevea brasiliensis (rubber tree)
Lineage: Eukaryota; Viridiplantae; Streptophyta; Magnoliopsida; Malpighiales; Euphorbiaceae
Source: RNAcentral
GAUUUGUGAAGGUUAAGACAAAUUGAAAGGUUGAAGAUAUGGGUAAUCUUUUUUGUUGUGUGCAAGUGGACCAAUCCACUGUAGCUAUCAGGGAGAGGUUUGGUAGGUUUGAGGAAGUUCUUGAGCCAGGAUGCCAUUGUUUGCCUUGGUUUCUUGGAGCCCAGAUUGCUGGCAAUCUGUCUCUCCGGUUGCAACAAUUGGAUGUGCGAUGUGAGACCAAGACAAAGGAUAAUGUGUUCGUCAAUGUGGUUGCCUCUAUUCAA